Molecule: ribosomal RNA, 501 nt
Filed under: uncultured Lachnospiraceae bacterium
Lineage: Bacteria; Bacillati; Bacillota; Clostridia; Lachnospirales; Lachnospiraceae
Description: bacterial SSU rRNA
Rfam family: Bacterial small subunit ribosomal RNA
Source: RNAcentral
AGUUUGAUCCGUGGCUCAGGAUGAACGCUGGCGGCGUGCCUAACACAUGCAAGUCGAACGAAGCAUACACCACGGAAGCCUCCGGGCGGAAGAGGGGUAUGACUGAGUGGCGGACGGGUGAGUAACGCGUGGGCAACCUGCCCUGUACCGGGGGAUAACACCCAGAAAUGGGUGCUAAUACCGCAUAAGCGCACAGUGCCGCAUGGCACGGUGUGAAAAACUCCGGUGGUACAGGAUGGGCCCGCGUCUGAUUAGCUAGUUGGCAGGGUAACGGCCUACCAAGGCAGCGAUCAGUAGCCGGCUUGAGAGAGUGACCGGCCACAUUGGGACUGAGACACGGCCCAAACUCCUACGGGAGGCAGCAGUGGGGAAUAUUGCACAAUGGGGGAAACCCGUGAUGCAGCGACGCCGCGUGAGUGAAGAAGUAUUUCGGUAUGUAAAGCUCUAUCAGCAGGGAAGAAGAUGACGGUACCUGACUAAGAAGCCCCGGCUAACUACGUG